RNAcentral lists this transfer RNA (74 nucleotides) under Streptococcus pneumoniae K2557. Its description in RNAcentral is "tRNA-Lys". It matches the Rfam family "tRNA". Rfam says of the family: Transfer RNA (tRNA) molecules are approximately 80 nucleotides in length. Their secondary structure includes four short double-helical elements and three loops (D, anti-codon, and T loops). Further hydrogen bonds mediate the characteristic L-shaped molecular structure. tRNAs have two regions of fundamental functional importance: the anti-codon, which is responsible for specific mRNA codon recognition, and the 3' end, to which the tRNAs corresponding amino acid is attached (by aminoacyl-tRNA synthetases). tRNAs cope with the degeneracy of the genetic code in two manners: having more than one tRNA (with a specific anti-codon) for a particular amino acid; and 'wobble' base-pairing, i.e. permitting non-standard base-pairing at the 3rd anti-codon position. The record is from RNAcentral. Lineage: Bacteria; Bacillati; Bacillota; Bacilli; Lactobacillales; Streptococcaceae.
GACUCGUUAGCUCAGUUGGUAGAGCAAUUGACUUUUAAAUCAAUGGGUCACUGGUUUCGAGCCAGUACGGGUCA